This is a long non-coding RNA of Triticum aestivum (bread wheat), 2628 nucleotides long. RefSeq lists it as uncharacterized. Lineage: Eukaryota; Viridiplantae; Streptophyta; Magnoliopsida; Poales; Poaceae. The record is from RefSeq and is a predicted model, not a curated record. The transcript has 3 exons.
UGUUCCUUCUUCUAUUCCCAGCAUCACUCGCCCUUCCUCUUGCCGUCUGCGACCCCAACACGCCGCGGCGCGCCGCGCCCUCCCCAAGGGAGAGGAGCCUAAGCCCAUCUAGAUGUAGUAGCCCAACCCAACAAAUGACGAGGUUCUUCAUCGAGCGAAGCGACUGGGAGCGAUCGAUCCAAAUCAAUCAAUUUGGUCGUUCCCCAACCCCCCACUACUGCCAAGCCCUAGCGCCGCCGCCGGGCGCCUCCUCCAAAUCAUGUGCAUCUCUUGCAACUCCUAUUUCCGGUGUUAAUCGUCUACAUACCCGGGCAUAUUCACCGUCGUUCUGGACCGAGCACCGUUGUUGUUCCAUAGGAGGCGAUGGAAGGGUGUGGGGAUGCUGCAUCAACAGAAGAUAUUUUUUCCAUGCCAUUCGACAUAGGAGAAGUGAUGGACCUAGAUGACCCAAUGGACACGAGACCACGGUGCUCGAUGGUGAGCCGGACAAAUCCAGCGGUGGUGCCGACUGCCGAGGAUUGCCGAGGAUGCACGUGAGGUACGCUAGUGAGGUUGUUGGAGCAGAACAAUGGCAACAGCUCAGCUGGCUUUUCUGGCUACAAGGAGGUAAUCCAAAGAAAUAUAUGUCCCAGCCAAUUUCUUUUUCCCUUAUCCUGUAUUGAUCAUCUAUGUACGUGUGCAUAAAACUGAACUGGUGUAUGUAAGGAUAGUUCUUGUCAGUGUUAAUCAGUAGUUCAGUACCACUCUUCUUCCAUGUGUUUUAAUCAUCUCUGUAGUCUGUAUUUGUGCACAAAACGGAACCUCAGCCAAUUGUGUGUUUAGUUUAUCAUGUACAACUUGCAGAUGUACUAAUCAUCUUUCUACAUGUGCAUAAAACUGAAACCAUGGGCCUAAGCCGAUCCAAAUCAAUCGAUUUAUGUCUUUUCAUUUUUUUUAAUAAUUGAAUUCCAUAAGUUUUGGUGAGUAGACUUACAUUUUGUUAAAAAAAAUAGACCUUAAAUGUUCGCCCUGCCAGAUGUAAAUUGCUACAUUCAGAUUCCCUGUUGUGAUGUUGCUGAAUCUUCUGUUAUGCAUCAUAUAUCUAAUACUAUGUUGGAAAUAAAAAAUCCUUUCCCAGCUGUAAUUUCCUUCCAUAUAUGUUUAUUUCGAAAAUGUAUCCAUGUUUUGUUAAUUAGUAAGAAGAUUCCAAUCGCCGGAUGCAAAGGCCAGGUUUUUCUCCUUCCCAAAACAAAGAUUCUUAAGUGAGGACUCACGAGAACUAUCUUUUGUUCCCCUACCUUCCAUUAUUGAUUUAUCUGUGGAAGUUCCGACAAGCAAGAACCUUAUUUGUAUUUAUCGUGCUUUGAUCAUGCAUUUUUUGAUCGAUAAUUAAACCAGUAAGGUUUUCAUGAAUGCAUCUUCGUGGUUUUUGCACAGCUAUCCCCUCUAGAUAGAUAGCACAUUGAAUAACAAUGGUGGGAACUCUAAACAUUUGUGUAUGUCAACCAAAGACGUAAACACAAAAGAAGUUUGCGAUCCUUAUAUGAUUUCGGUUGACUUUUGUGCAACUGAUUCAUGCUAAACAAUUGGGAUGUCAUUUUGGUGAUCUUGUUGAAGAUUUGGUUGGAAAAGCAAGACGACAUUUUGCUUGUAGAGUCUAUCCUUUGGUUGGAGCUGUACGACCAAAAAUUUCAAGGCUUAUUGGAUUAUUGGAAGAACUUGUGUUGUCAAUGUUAUAGUGUCGCGUAUUUGAUUUUUGUAGGCACCAAAUUGGAAUCCCUGGGGCUGCUUUAAAUCUGCUUUUGAUUCGUUUUUCCCUAGUGAUGUGAUACCGUUUACACUUUUGUAGGCACCAAAUUGGAGCCGUCGUGUCUCCUGUUUUCAAACCUGUCUUAGUGAGCCAAGUCAAUCUGGCAUUGUGCAUUUGCAGAUGUUCCAAGAAUUCAAUUACUCAAGCAUGGCAAGUAGUGAAAAGGUUUAUUUGCUAUUUUACAAUUAUCAUUACCUAUUUUUGAUAAAUAUGCUAAACGCGUUAAUGUUAUCUCAGACUAGCAUUUCACAAUACUCUAUUGACUGAAAAUGGGUGUGUGUCUUGCCUCUCUGCUUGUGGAUACUAUUGCAUUGCUAGCGGACUGUUAAUAGUAAUAAUAUGUGAUUCGUUGCAUGCUAAAUCUUUUCUGUUGUUAUGACUGGUUCAUACAUGUGGCUUCCUGAAGUUGUUGAUAUAUGUUUUCACCUGUGUACUGUGACCUAUCCUAUAGAUUGGAGGAGCCAGUAAAUUUGAAGUUAGCGAGGAUGGAGUAACAGAUGCACUUAAUGCCCAAUAAAGCUACUAUUGAAGAGGGUAUCGUGCCAGGAUGUGGUGGUGUUACCCUUCUAUAUGCAUCAAAGGCUUUCGAUAGAUUGUGUCCUCCUGACAAAGGGUAUUUUAGAGGUUGCAGAUGACCCCUUCGAGAACCCAUGUAAAUGCCAACAUUGUUCACUCUUAACCAAUGUCAACUAGCUACCAACAAUAUUUAUCUAUGCUAUAUGCAGCCAAAUAGAUGUUUGUUUUGUUAGAUAGGUGUGCAGUAGGAAGAGUGUGGAUCGGAACUACUAUUCUAACUUUUUGACUCAGAACUUCUAAAUUUGUUUUCCUUUUAUGCACUA